GCCCCUGGCAACGGGAUAGCUCAACUGGUAGAGCAUGAGACUUUUAAUCUCAGGGUCAUAGGUUUGAGCCCCACAUUGGGCA
This 82-nucleotide transfer RNA is filed under the name Podarcis lilfordi (Lilford's wall lizard). RNAcentral's name for it is "tRNA.Lys". The stretch from base 17 to 74 matches the Rfam family "tRNA", at positions 8 to 63 of the family's 71-position model. Rfam says of the family: Transfer RNA (tRNA) molecules are approximately 80 nucleotides in length. Their secondary structure includes four short double-helical elements and three loops (D, anti-codon, and T loops). The record is from RNAcentral. Lineage: Eukaryota; Metazoa; Chordata; Lepidosauria; Squamata; Lacertidae.